Molecule: ribosomal RNA, 372 nt
Filed under: uncultured bacterium
Lineage: Bacteria
Description: bacterial SSU rRNA
Rfam family: Bacterial small subunit ribosomal RNA
Source: RNAcentral
UACGGAGGAUGCAAGCGUUAUCCGGAUUCAUUGGGUUUAAAGGGUGCGCAGGCGGAAUAAUAAGUCAGCGGUGAAAGCCUACAGCUUAACUGUAGAACUGCCAUUGAUACUGUUAUUCUUGAGUGUUGUUGAGGUUGGCGGAAUGUGUCAUGUAGCGGUGAAAUGCUUAGAUAUGACACAGAACACCGAUCGCGAAGGCAGCUAACCAAGCAACAACUGACGCUCAUGCACGAAAGCGUGGGGAUCAAACAGGAUUAGAUACCCUGGUAGUCCACGCCGUAAACGAUGAUCACUCGAUGUUGGCGAUACACUGUCAGCGUCUUAGCGAAAGUAUUAAGUGAUCCACCUGGGGAGUACGGUCGCAAGAUUGAA